GAUGAACGCUGACAGAAUGCUUAACACAUGCAAGUCUUUGGCGAAGCUGUGCUUGCACAGCCUAGCCAAGGCGGACGGGUGAGUAACGCGUAAGGGACUUGCCCUGCAGUCAGGGAUAACAGACGGAAACGACUGAUAAGACCUGGUAAAGUCAGGCGGACUCAUGUCCAGCCUGAUGAAAAGGAAUGCUGCAGGAGAGCCUUGCGUCCUAUUAGCUUGUUGGUGGGGUAACGGCCCACCAAGGCGAUGAUAGGUAGCCGGCCUGAGAGGGUGGACGGCCACAAGGGGACUGAGAUACGGCCCUUACUCCUACGGGAGGCAGCAGUGGGGAAUAUUGGACAAUGGGGGCAACCCUGAUCCAGCAAUUCUGUGUGCACGAUGAAGGUCUUCGGAUUGUAAAGUGCUUUCAGCAGGGAAGAAAGAAAUGACGGUACCUGCAGAAGAAGCGACGGCUAAAUACGUGCCAGCAGCCGCGGUAAUACGUAUGUCGCGAGCGUUAUCCGGAAUUAUUGGGCAUAAAGGGCAUCUAGGCGGCCGGAUAAGUCUGGGGUGAAAACUUGCGGCUCAACCGCAAGCCUGCCCUGGAAACUAUGCGGCUAGAGUACUGGAGAGGUGGACGGAACUGCACGAGUAGAGGUGAAAUUCGUAGAUAUGUGCAGGAAUGCCGAUGAUGAAGAUAGUUCACUGGACGGCAACUGACGCUGAAGUGCGAAAGCUAGGGGAGCAAACAGG
This 732-nucleotide ribosomal RNA is filed under the name uncultured Leptotrichia sp. Its description in RNAcentral is "bacterial SSU rRNA". It matches the Rfam family "Bacterial small subunit ribosomal RNA", at positions 28 to 776 of the family's 1533-position model. Lineage: Bacteria; Fusobacteriati; Fusobacteriota; Fusobacteriia; Fusobacteriales; Leptotrichiaceae. The record is from RNAcentral.